UUACCAGCCAGGCUNCUGGCUAAACUCCAGCUCUUAGCUGGAUUUUAGCCAAAGCUUGGCUGUGAA
This is a microRNA precursor of Neotoma lepida (desert woodrat), 66 nucleotides long. It matches the Rfam family "mir-344 microRNA precursor family". The record is from Rfam. NCBI's taxonomy places the organism in Eukaryota, Metazoa, Chordata, Mammalia, Rodentia, Cricetidae.